This 253-nucleotide ribosomal RNA is filed under the name uncultured bacterium. RNAcentral describes it as "partial 16S ribosomal RNA". It matches the Rfam family "Bacterial small subunit ribosomal RNA", at positions 524 to 776 of the family's 1533-position model. The record is from RNAcentral.
UACGUAAGUGGCGAGCGUUAUCCGGAAUUACUGGGCGUAAAGCGUGCGUAGGCGGUUUAGUGUGUGGGACUUGAAAGCCCGGGGCUCAACUCCAGAUCCGGUUCCCAAACUGCUAGACUCGAGAGUAUCAGAGGAGAGCGGAAUUCCCGGUGUAGCGGUAAUAUGCGUAGAUAUCGGGAGGAACACCAGUGGCGAAGGCGGCUCUCUGGGGUAUUUCUGACGCUGAGGCACGAAAGCCAGGGGAGCGAACGGG